RNAcentral lists this long non-coding RNA (375 nucleotides) under Homo sapiens (human). RNAcentral describes it as "HSALNT0084322". Lineage: Eukaryota; Metazoa; Chordata; Mammalia; Primates; Hominidae. The record is from RNAcentral.
GUCAUAAUGGCCCCAGGCAUGACAAGGUUACUGGGUCAUAGUUGGUUAUCGUAGUACUUAGACAACGUGCUCAUGGGAAACAAACGACUCCAGGGUGUGUGCCGCCGAUUUGCAAUAUGAGGCUGAUCUACUGUUCCCACUGUUUUAUUCCCUGCUGCUAUAUCUCGGCUGGGAAAUGUACGCUGUGGACCCCGCAUCUUCAUAAUGAUGGUCCCUCAAUGAUCAACCACCUUCCACGUAGCAUCCAUACAGUAGUCUGAGCAAGCUGAAGGAUAACAAGCUUAAAUUUAUCUUUUAAAAAUGUCAGAACUUCCAGAAAUUUGUAUUAAAAUUUCUAAAUUGUAUUUCUGAACCGAAAUAAAGUAUUACAAAGUU